GGCAAUGUGGCGGAGUGGUUAACGCGAUAGACUUGAAAUCUAUUUCCUUCGGGAGCACAGGUUCGAACCCUGUCAUUGUCG
RNAcentral lists this transfer RNA (81 nucleotides) under Venturia effusa. RNAcentral's name for it is "Fusicladium effusum tRNA". It matches the Rfam family "tRNA". From Rfam's summary of the family: Transfer RNA (tRNA) molecules are approximately 80 nucleotides in length. Their secondary structure includes four short double-helical elements and three loops (D, anti-codon, and T loops). Further hydrogen bonds mediate the characteristic L-shaped molecular structure. tRNAs have two regions of fundamental functional importance: the anti-codon, which is responsible for specific mRNA codon recognition, and the 3' end, to which the tRNAs corresponding amino acid is attached (by aminoacyl-tRNA synthetases). tRNAs cope with the degeneracy of the genetic code in two manners: having more than one tRNA (with a specific anti-codon) for a particular amino acid; and 'wobble' base-pairing, i.e. permitting non-standard base-pairing at the 3rd anti-codon position. Lineage: Eukaryota; Fungi; Ascomycota; Dothideomycetes; Venturiales; Venturiaceae. The record is from Rfam by way of RNAcentral.